This 465-nucleotide ribosomal RNA is filed under the name uncultured bacterium. RNAcentral describes it as "bacterial SSU rRNA". It matches the Rfam family "Bacterial small subunit ribosomal RNA", at positions 338 to 795 of the family's 1533-position model. The record is from RNAcentral.
CCUACGGGCGGCACCAGUGGGGAAUAUUGCACAAUGGGCGCAAGCCUGAUGCAGCCAUGCCGCGUGUAUGAAGAAGGCCUUCGGGUUGUAAAGUACUUUCAGCGGGGAGGAAGGUGUUGAGGUUAAUAACCUCAGCAAUUGACGUUACCCGCAGAAGAAGCACCGGCUAACUCCGUGCCAGCAGCCGCGGUAAUACGGAGGGUGCAAGCGUUAAUCGGAAUUACUGGGCGUAAAGCGCACGCAGGCGGUCUGUCAAGUCGGAUGUGAAAUCCCCGGGCUCAACCUGGGAACUGCACUCGAAACUGGCAGGCUGGAGUCUUGUAGAGGGGGGUAGAAUUCCAGGUGUAGCGGUGAAAUGCAUAGAGAUCUGGAGGAAUACCGGUGGCGAAGGCGGCCCCUUGGACAAAGACUGACGCUCAGGUGCGAAAGCGUGGGGAGCGAACAGGAUUAGAUACCCCAGUAGUC